This 439-nucleotide ribosomal RNA is filed under the name uncultured fungus. RNAcentral's name for it is "SSU rRNA". It matches the Rfam family "Eukaryotic small subunit ribosomal RNA", at positions 300 to 737 of the family's 1831-position model. Lineage: Eukaryota; Fungi. The record is from RNAcentral.
CAAAUUUCUGCCCUAUCAACUUUCGAUUGUAAAGUAGUGGUUUACAAUGGUUUGUAACGGGUAACGGGGAAUUAGGGUUCUAUUCCGGAGAGGGAGCCUGAGAAACGGCUACCACAUCCAAGGAAGGCAGCAGGCGCGCAAAUUACCCAAUCCCAAUACGGGGAGGUAGUGACAAUAAAUACUGAUACAGGGCUCUUUCGGGUCUUGUAAUUGGAAUGAGAACAAUUUAAAUUCCUUAACGAGGAACAAUUGGAGGGCAAGUCUGGUGCCAGCAGCCGCGGUAAUUCCAGCUCCAAUAGCGUAUAUUAAAGUUGUUGCAGUUAAAAAGCUCGUAGUUGAACCUUGGGCCUGACCGAUCUGUCCUCCUAAUCGAGCGCACGGAUUCGGUUGGGCCUUUCCUUCUUGGGGGAGCCCUAUGCCCUUCACUGGGCGUAGUGGG